Molecule: non-coding RNA, 193 nt
Filed under: Candidatus Omnitrophota bacterium
Lineage: Bacteria; Pseudomonadati; Candidatus Omnitrophota
Description: Omnitrophica WOR MoCo sequence
Rfam family: Molybdenum/Tungsten riboswitch aptamer (Moco RNA motif)
Source: RNAcentral
GACAAUUCGGUUCUCCGAGCCUGUUGGCCUACCCUCGUGCCGAGCACGGCCAACGGGCCCCUGUCCUGGAGCGCUGUAUGUGCCAGGACCGGGUGAGGAAGGAAACGCCCUCACCUCCUCGUGUCCGCCACAAAGAUUGGCGGAUCCGCCACGCAGUGUGGCGGACUUGGAAAGGAGAUGGAAUUCGGAUGAC